This 3974-nucleotide long non-coding RNA is filed under the name Oncorhynchus kisutch (coho salmon). RNAcentral describes it as "lncRNA (ENSOKIG00005014772.1)". Lineage: Eukaryota; Metazoa; Chordata; Actinopteri; Salmoniformes; Salmonidae. The record is from RNAcentral.
AUAUUAAAUUAACAUGAGUUUAUGUUUAGAUUUCUAUGAUUUUUAUCAAUAUCCCAUAUAACAGGCAUAUGGUAUUUGUGGGGUUUCAAAUCUCUCUCUCUCUCUCUCUCUCUCUCUCUCUCUCUCUCUCUCUCUCUCUCUCUCUCUCUCUCUCUCUCUUUCUCUCUCCGUCUGUCUGUGUUCUUGUUUGGAAGAACUAUUUGGAAGAAAUUCAAGAUUUCAAGGACGCACGGAUUUGAAUUUAACUGGAGAGGCUGAGAGCUGAGGGGAAGAGUGACAUAAAGAGGAGAGAAGUUCAUUAUCCAGCUGAAAAGGAAACCAAUGGCUUUCACAGUCUCCAUGGGAACCAGCCUUUCUUUUGCUGUCAAACCUAUGAUAAGAAACCCUCUCCUUUCUCCCACUCCAAGGCAGCCCUUUUCAAACCGGGAAGCUCCAGGUCAGUUUCCCUUUCCAAGUUUUACGGCCUGCCAUGUUGUCCAUUCUGCUCAGCUAUUUAAAAAAUGUUGAAUAUCAACAAUGGCUUUCACUGGUGUAUUGUCAACUUUUGUAUGAAGCAAUCUUGGCUGAAUGAGAUGGGUCCCAGAGCAGGGAGGGCUUGGCUGCGGCAUGCACCGCAACACCACUGGCGCCUGCCUGGCUCUCUCUCUCUCUCUCUCUCUCUCUCUCUCUGCUGCAGGCAGGAUCAGGGAGGCAGGAGCAGCCGUCCCUCUAGUCCCUGUCUCAGCCCAGCCGCUGGGGUCUGGAUGGGGCUGGGAAAGCCACCCCCUCGUCAGUCCUCUCUGCAAACUCAUCCUCAUCUCAGGUUCCCCUCCCCCUGCCUCUGGCCCUGUCGUCUGGGAGCCCCUGAAGGUGUGACACCUCACACAGGAAUCGGAGAGCAGGAGCCCGGGGGCCAGUCAGAGCUGGUGUUUUUCAGAAGUGUGGUGAGAGAGAGGAGCGUCAGAAACAUGAAACCUAAGAUAGCAGAGUGGAAGAAGAGAACAAGUCGUUAGCACUUUGAAACCAGACACCGGGAGGUAUCAGAUCCAUUGGGUGGCUAAGGAUCAUGGGUAUAGUGUGUGUGUGUGUGUCAGCGUGUGUGCCUUCAUGCAUGUCGUGUGUGUGUGAAUGAGUGUGUGUGUGAAUGCGUGUGUGUGUGUGUGUGUGUGUGUAUGGGGAGGUGGAUGCUGACAGGGUCUCUCUCUCUCUUUCUCUCUCUCUCUGGUUGACUGGGUCACUCGGGGGCCCCGGACCCCACACAAUGCCCUGGCAGCAGUGUGGGCUUUACUGGGCCUCUACAGAGCAGCGCCGAGCUGCUAGCUUUACGAGAGACAGACGGAUGGAUCCCUUCACCUUGCACCAUAAAGCCACCAGUCACCAGAUAAAAGAGGGCAGAUGCGAGGGGAAGCAUUGAGAGCUCACCUGCACCCAGCAGGGAACAGCCUCUAUCCAGCCAACCCAAGAGGGCCUCUACAUUCAGCCUCCUCUCACUAACACCACUAAUAGGGAACAGGGGCACUGUCAAAUAAGAGGAGAAUCCUUCCUUGUUUUGGAUGGCCUGGGAUCCUUAUUAGCUGUUAGUGCUAGAACACAGCUAUACUGGUGAAGAGUUCAGUGCAGUUAACACGGAUGUUGACAGUGCAGGGCAGAGCAGGCUGCAACAGGUUGCUGCUAAAAGCUGUAAUUACAGUAUGAUCUGGAGACUCUAGUUACUGGGAGAUUGAGAGUGGUGGGAUCCUUGUGAAAAGUGCCAAUUCUGAAUGUAUUUUUAAGAGGCACUUGUUGGAGGGAGAACAUGGUUAGGUAACAGGUUGAUCAGGAGUCUGACAGGGAAUGGGACAUACAGACAGACUAACUGACAGAGGGUCAGGAUUGGAGACAGGAGGCAGGCAAGGUGGCAGAUGGGCUAAGCGACAGACAGAGACAGGUAGGCAUGGACUCAUGGAGCCAGGCAGUCAGGGAGGCAAGCUGUCAGCGAGGGCAGACCCACCCUGGGUAGCUUCUGCCUUCCCUGUUGGAGUGACAGAUGUGUGGUGAAUCUUUAGCUCUCCUCACAGCUCCUCACUCCCCAGUGUCACCGCAUCUGUCCCCUCCUCAGUCCCCCUUGGCUCAGCCCCCUCCUGUGUAAAUGCAGGACAACAAAAAUGAGUUCAGUGGACUUAUUGAUUAGUCCAGCCUGCACUGGCUAGCUUCAUUUAUUGACCUCUGGGACUCAUUAUUGACAAGGCUUUGUCUUUGUGAUUUGUUCAAAAUUUCACUGGGCACAUGGGAACCUUGUGUCUCACACAGUAGGAUAAUUUAAACAGAACAUCUGUAGCCUAGCGGAUCAAUGCAAAAAUGUGCAUGUUGAUCUACAGUGCAGAACUAUGAGCAUAUUUGAAUAUGUUGACAUGGAUCAAGCAGAUAAACAAACAUUUGGACAAUGAUAAGUGGGUCAUGUUUGUGGGACAACAACAACAGAAAAGAAGAGGUCAGCGUAUGCUCUCAACCGAACACAACGUCCUGUCUCAUUGUCUGCCUUAAACCCCACUGUAAAAAACAUAUACUGCCUCGGCCAUAGUAGAUAGUAAGUAGCAUUUUAUCCUCAUCAGUCUAAUUUCUCAGACGCCUCAAUGUUAAAGGGUCUGGACUCGCCGUCCCCCAGCCCCUGUCCCUCUCUCCCGCUCAGCCUGGCCCUGGCGAGAGAUGGUUUAUUUAAAUUGAAAAUUAGCAAAACAAAACAAGGGCAAGAGGAUCCCUGAAUGGGGCCCCUUUCUCUGGGAGCUCCUGUGCCGUUGAAUAAUGCAUAUGGGAGAAAGUAAACAGCAGCCUCGGGCUCCGUCCAAGGAACAAUGGGCCGCACACAGUCCAACCACGGCGCCUGAUUUUAUUACGGGCCCUGUCAGUCCCCUCCUCCCUCCAUCCAUCCCUCCCUCCAGUACCUCCUCUAGCCUGGGAAUCGUGGAACGCAGGCCAGGCAGCAGCUGCUGACCGCUCCGCACUGACCCAACACACUCCGCGACCUGCAGGAUAACUCCACACACACACUCCCUCCCAGCCAGCACACACCACCACUGCAUACCUCGACUGUCACAGCCUGCAUGCCUGCCUACCACCACUACAGUGCAUACAUAUACUCAGUCACACCAGGCAGCAACUGGUUGGCCACAUCCAGAUGGUGUCUUGUGAGGAAAUGUUUGAAUUAGAUGAAUGUUUGAAACAUAUGGAAUUUAUGAAUGACUGACUCAUUUAGCCUGAGGAAAAUAUCAGACUUCACCAACUCCAACCCCUAUUUCUGAGAUCUUGGCUUGGACAGUGCCGGGUCACUUUGGCCACUUGUGAACUUUUCUCUCCACUAGAACAUUCUGUCUGUGUGUGUUCUCUCUCUCUCCGAUCAGGCUGGCAUUGAGAUUCCGGUCUUGCUUCUGGCUUCAGCCUGGGCCGGUUGCCAUGCCGACAGGCAAAUUGGCUAGCAGGAUGAGUAGUGAUGUGAUGUGGCUGUGGCUUUAAAGUCCCAACAAAGACUGUAUUACAACCCAAUCUUUGCAUAACACACUAUUGUUGUCAUGUGCUACUGAUAUUAAUCCUCUUCCUGCUGCAGGAGACGUGUGUGUCUCUCUGUGGAAGGGUUUUGUGUGUAUGUACGUGAACGUGUGUGUAUGGCUGGACACCAGAAGUCACACUAAAGAUUAUCUACAGUCACAACGACUGAAGAUACAUACUGAAUAAAAUAAAGGAUUUUGCAAUGAUUUUGAUAGUGAAGUUAAUGUUUUAGUCAGUUUGUUGACAUUGCUCGCUCUCUCUCUCUCUCUCUCCUCAACAAUGUUCAUCAACAAUGUUCAUGAAACCUCCAUACUCCCCACCUCACCUAAGCAAACAUCCCUGGGCCCUAGGCCUGAGACGAGUCUAUAGCAGCCUGGCCUUAUAGACUCGUCCCUGAGUGUGAAGGGACAUAAAGAGAGGUGGAGGGGGGUCCCAGUAGCAGGAGCGCAUGACACCGGGCGGCUGCAGGAUGU